UGGAGGAAUACCCAAGUCCGGCUGAAGGGAUCGGUCUUGAAAACCGACAGGAGCUUAACGGCUCGCGGGGGUUCGAAUCCCUCUUCCUCCGU
This 92-nucleotide transfer RNA is filed under the name Helicobacter pylori. RNAcentral describes it as "tRNA-Ser". It matches the Rfam family "tRNA". Rfam says of the family: Transfer RNA (tRNA) molecules are approximately 80 nucleotides in length. Their secondary structure includes four short double-helical elements and three loops (D, anti-codon, and T loops). RNAcentral also lists the same sequence under 10 other names. Lineage: Bacteria; Pseudomonadati; Campylobacterota; Epsilonproteobacteria; Campylobacterales; Helicobacteraceae. The record is from RNAcentral.